UGUUCCUGGAAGAUACCCGUAGCCUGC
RNAcentral lists this non-coding RNA (27 nucleotides) under Homo sapiens (human). The record is from RNAcentral. Lineage: Eukaryota; Metazoa; Chordata; Mammalia; Primates; Hominidae.